AGAACAGCACUGGAGUUUCUCUUUCACGUAAAAGAAACUUACAAAGUGGUGUUCCCGAACCAGAUGGAAUCAGCGAUGAACAAAGUUCGGAAAAAUAUUCUUCUGUCAAAUAUUCAAGAAAUAGUGCCUCAAACACAUCUCUUAGAAAAGAUCAUACUGAGUCCUCUUUCAACAGCCGUAAUUCUCGAUCAUCUGUUAAUUCAACUCAUGUUUUAAAACCUACAAUUGGUCAAUCAAGUCCGUGUAUUUUAAGUGAUAAAGAAAAAGAAAUCAAACGUAAAUCAGGAGAUAAUACUCUAGGUAUUUUUUUAAUUAUUACCUCAGAAUUUUCAAACAAUAAGCGUAGCCGUUCUGAUUUAAAUGAAAAGGCAUAAUCUAACUUUUAUGUUUUAAGGAUAGACAUUUUCAAUCCGUUAACGAUUCAGAGAA
Long non-coding RNA from Octopus sinensis (East Asian common octopus), 429 nucleotides. RefSeq lists it as uncharacterized. NCBI's taxonomy places the organism in Eukaryota, Metazoa, Mollusca, Cephalopoda, Octopoda, Octopodidae. The record is from RefSeq and is a predicted model, not a curated record. The transcript is spliced from 3 exons.